GUCCACACUGUAACGAUGAUAACUAACUGUUGGCUUUCGGGUCAGUGGUACAGAGAAUCGUUAAGUUAUCCACCUGGGGAGUACGCCGGCAACGGUGAAACUCAAAGGAAUUGACGGGGUCCGCACAAGCGGUGGAGCAUGUGGUUUAAUACGACGCUACGCGUGGAACCUUACCAGGACUUGACAUGUAUAUGCAAUCCUAUCGAAAGAUAGGACCUGUCCUAAAGACACAUUUACACAGGUGUUGCAUGGCUGUCGU
This 259-nucleotide ribosomal RNA is filed under the name uncultured bacterium. Its description in RNAcentral is "partial 16S ribosomal RNA". It matches the Rfam family "Bacterial small subunit ribosomal RNA", at positions 793 to 1055 of the family's 1533-position model. The record is from RNAcentral.